Molecule: non-coding RNA, 218 nt
Organism: Pelobates cultripes (western spadefoot toad)
Lineage: Eukaryota; Metazoa; Chordata; Amphibia; Anura; Pelobatidae
Source: the annotation of a GenBank genome assembly
AUUGGGGACUCAGUGGUUGCAGUUUUAGCUAGCUGCCACCUGUAUCCUGCUGGAUUUACUCCCUAUUGUGACUUUCAUCCCUGUGAGUGCCUAGGAUUAUCUGCUCAGCAUUUCAUCUGCUUCACAGACCUCCUACUCUGCAUUCCUGUGCCUCUGUCUCCUACUACCAAGCUAAGACUCACUAUAUUCUGUGGCUGGGUCAGUCAGGUCAGUGCUGC